CGAAGUUUCCCUCAGGAUAGCUGUAAUGCAUUUAGUUAAGGGGAGUAGAGAUAUGGGUAGAGGUGCAGGGAGCCUUCGGGUUCUCAACUUAUUUCCAAACUUCGAACCUCCUUGUUAGGCAUUUACCUAACUGGAAAUGCUUAAAUGAAUUAGCGUUACAAGUGGGCUCUGACCGGUAAGCGGUCAUGGCGAAAUGGGAUGAACCAUACGUCUGAAUAAGGUGCCGAAAUGUACUAUCACUGAUACCAUAAAGGGAGUCCAUGUAUUUAGACAGCAGGUCGGUGCCCCUAAAAGCAGGUAUCCGCUAAAGAGUGUGUUAAAACUCACCUGCCGAAUACUAGGGCCCCGAAAAUGAAUGGCGCAUAUAGUACUACCGAUCUCAGACAUCAGUUCUAUUGAACUGAGAGUAGGGGGAUGUGGACAUUUUUGUGAAGGUGCAAUGUGAGUUGGACUGGAAGAAUGUCUAUUACAGAUCCUAAUUGAAGUAGCGAUUAUCCAGGCUUGUAUCCUGGGGGCUGAUGAGGAGUAGGGUUUCUGGACAACUUAAACAGAUCCAGAGUUAGUCGAUCCUAAUCUCAAUAAUGGGAGAAAGGGAGUACAGUUGAUAUUCUGUAACUGACAACAGUUCGCGGCAACGCAUACUAUUUUUCUCCGCCAAUCUUAUACCGUUGGUAGGGAUCUCUUUCCUACAUGACAGUACUAAUACCCAGGGAAACUGGUCAUCAGGCGAACUGCGGCGUUCUGCUGGCAAAACAUAGCUUCGGUUAUGUCAAUGGCUAUUGGAUUGGUCCAUGAAGCGAAAAAUAGUUUACUGUGUCACUCGUACCGAUAACCGCAUCAGGUCUUCUAGGUAAGUAGCCUAUGGCCAUUGAGGCAUGAUAGUUCAGGGAAUUCGGCCAAUUAGAGCUGUAACUUCGGGAUAAAGCUUGGCUCUGAGAAAAUCAGAACCG
This 950-nucleotide non-coding RNA is filed under the name Trichomonas vaginalis G3. RNAcentral describes it as "Eukaryotic large subunit ribosomal RNA". It matches the Rfam family "Eukaryotic large subunit ribosomal RNA", at positions 962 to 2116 of the family's 3401-position model. Lineage: Eukaryota; Parabasalia; Trichomonadida; Trichomonadidae. The record is from Rfam by way of RNAcentral.